Y RNA from Callithrix jacchus (white-tufted-ear marmoset), 102 nucleotides. It matches the Rfam family "Y RNA". From Rfam's summary of the family: Y RNAs are components of the Ro ribonucleoprotein particle (Ro RNP), in association with Ro60 and La proteins. The Y RNAs and Ro60 and La proteins are well conserved, but the function of the Ro RNP is not known. In humans the RNA component can be one of four small RNAs -- hY1, hY3, hY4 and hY5. NCBI's taxonomy places the organism in Eukaryota, Metazoa, Chordata, Mammalia, Primates, Cebidae. The record is from Ensembl.
GGCCGGUCCAAGUGCAGUGGUGUUUACAACUAAUUGAUCACAACCAGUUACAGAUUUCUUUGUUCCUUCUCCACUCCCACUGCUUCACUUGACUAGCCUUAA